Molecule: ribosomal RNA, 506 nt
Filed under: uncultured Actinomycetes bacterium
Lineage: Bacteria; Bacillati; Actinomycetota; Actinomycetes
Description: bacterial SSU rRNA
Rfam family: Bacterial small subunit ribosomal RNA
Source: RNAcentral
UGGGGAAUCUUGCACAAUGCGCGAAAGCGUGAUGCAGCAACGCCGCGUGGGGGAAGAAGGCCUUCGGGUUGUAAACCCCUUUCAGUUGGGACGAAGCUUCGCCGGUGAAUAGCCGGCUGGAGUGACGGUACCUUCACAAGAAGCCCCGGCUAACUACGUGCCAGCAGCCGCGGUAAUACGUAGGGGGCUAGCGUUGUCCGGAAUCAUUGGGCGUAAAGAGCGUGUAGGCGGCCCGGUAAGUCCGCUGUGAAAGUCGGGGGCUCAACCCUCGAAUGCCGGUGGAUACUGUCGGGCUAGAGUGCGGAAGAGGCGAGUGGAAUUCCUGGUGUAGCGGUGAAAUGCGCAGAUAUCAGGAGGAACACCAAUUGCGAAGGCAGCUCGCUGGGACGUAACUGACGCUGAGACGCGAAAGCGUGGGGAGCGAAACAGGAUUAGGUACCCUGGUAGUCCACGCUGUAAACGAUGGGCACUAGGUGUGGGGGGUGUCGACUCCCUCCGUGCCGAAG